This 253-nucleotide ribosomal RNA is filed under the name uncultured bacterium. RNAcentral describes it as "partial 16S ribosomal RNA". It matches the Rfam family "Bacterial small subunit ribosomal RNA", at positions 524 to 776 of the family's 1533-position model. RNAcentral also lists the same sequence under 1 other name. The record is from RNAcentral.
UACGUAGGCAGCAAGCGUUGUUCGGAGUUACUGGGCGUAAAGGGUGUGUAGGCGGUUCCCUAAGUUUGGUGUGAAAUCUCCCGGCUCAACUGGGAGGGUGCGCCGAAAACUGGGGGGCUAGAGUACUGGAUGGGAGAGUGGAAUUCCUGGUGUAGCGGUGAAAUGCGUAGAUAUCAGGAGGAACACCUGUGGUGUAGACGGCUCUCUGGACAGUAACUGACGCUGAGACACGAAAGCGUGGGUAGCAAACAGG